This 253-nucleotide ribosomal RNA is filed under the name uncultured bacterium. RNAcentral's name for it is "partial 16S ribosomal RNA". It matches the Rfam family "Bacterial small subunit ribosomal RNA", at positions 524 to 776 of the family's 1533-position model. The record is from RNAcentral.
UACGUAGGGUGCGAGCGUUGAUCGGAAUUACUGGGCGUAAAGGGUGCGCAGGCGGCAAAGCAAGUCGAGUGUGAAAGCCCCGGGCUUAACUUGGGAAUUGCUCUCGAAACUACUUUGCUGGAGUGUGGCAGAGGAAGGUGGAAUUCCACGUGUAGCGGUGAAAUGCGUAGAGAUGUGGAGGAACACCAAUGGCGAAGGCAGCCUUCUGGGCCAACACUGACGCUCAUGCACGAAAGCGUGGGGAGCAAACAGG